This 308-nucleotide unclassified non-coding RNA is filed under the name plant metagenome. RNAcentral's name for it is "partial contains 5.8S ribosomal RNA, internal transcribed spacer 2, and large subunit ribosomal RNA". The stretch from base 1 to 105 matches the Rfam family "5.8S ribosomal RNA", at positions 50 to 154 of the family's 154-position model. The record is from RNAcentral.
GAAAUGCGAUAAGUAAUGUGAAUUGCAGAAUUCAGUGAAUCAUCGAAUCUUUGAACGCACAUUGCGCCCCUUGGUAUUCCGGGGGGCAUGCCUGUUCGAGCGUCAUUACAACCCUCAAGCUCUGCUUGGAAUUGGGCACCGUCCUCACUGCGGACGCGCCUCAAAGACCUCGGCGGUGGCUGUUCAGCCCUCAAGCGUAGUAAAAUACACCUCGCUUUGGAGCGGUUGGCGUCGCCCGCCGGACGAACCUUCUGAACUUUUCUCAAGGUUGACCUCGGAUCAGGUAGGGAUACCCGCUGAACUUAAGC